UGGGGAAUAUUGCACAAUGGGCGCAAGCCUGAUGCAGCCAUGCCGCGUGUAUGAAGAAGGCCUUCGGGUUGUAAAGUACUUUCAGCGGGGAGGAAGGGAGUAAAGUUAAUACCUUUGCUCAUUGACGUUACCCGCAGAAGAAGCACCGGCUAACUCCGUGCCAGCAGCCGCGGUAAUACGGAGGGUGCAAGCGUUAAUCGGAAUUACUGGGCGUAAAGCGCACGCAGGCGGUCUGUUAAGUCAGAUGUGAAAUCCCCGGGCUCAACCUGGGAACUGCAUCUGAUACUGGCAAGCUUGAGUCUCGUAGAGGGGGGUAGAAUUCCAGGUGUAGCGGUGAAAUGCGUAGAGAUCUGGAGGAAUACCGGUGGCGAAGGCGGCCCCCUGGACGAAGACUGACGCUCAGGUGCGAAAGCGUGGGGAGCAAACA
RNAcentral lists this ribosomal RNA (427 nucleotides) under uncultured bacterium. RNAcentral's name for it is "partial 16S ribosomal RNA". It matches the Rfam family "Bacterial small subunit ribosomal RNA", at positions 355 to 774 of the family's 1533-position model. The record is from RNAcentral.